RNAcentral lists this non-coding RNA (203 nucleotides) under Limosilactobacillus mucosae. RNAcentral describes it as "Lactobacillus mucosae T-box". It matches the Rfam family "T-box leader". Rfam says of the family: Uncharged tRNA acts as the effector for transcription antitermination of genes in the T-box leader family. T-boxes are found upstream of many aminoacyl-tRNA synthetase genes and some amino acid biosynthetic genes usually in Gram-positive bacteria. The record is from RNAcentral. Lineage: Bacteria; Bacillati; Bacillota; Bacilli; Lactobacillales; Lactobacillaceae.
AAAACGACUUUGAUGGAAAUUAGUAGCUGAACUGACGGCACCUAGGGAGAAAUGAUCAUCGACUGCAAGUCAUUUCUGCUUUCAUCAGUGAAUUUCACUUCCGGAGUUGGUACCUUGUAUCCCGGUUGACGACCGUUAUCAGUCAUUUGAGCGUAUGACAUUGUCAUAAACCAGGGUGGUACCGCGAACAACUCGUCCCUCGA